This 484-nucleotide ribosomal RNA is filed under the name uncultured Methylibium sp. Its description in RNAcentral is "bacterial SSU rRNA". It matches the Rfam family "Bacterial small subunit ribosomal RNA", at positions 8 to 487 of the family's 1533-position model. Lineage: Bacteria; Pseudomonadati; Pseudomonadota; Betaproteobacteria; Burkholderiales; Sphaerotilaceae. The record is from RNAcentral.
AGAGUUUGAUCAUGGCUCAGAUUGAACGCUGGCGGCAUGCCUUACACAUGCAAGUCGAACGGCAGCACGGGAGCAAUCCUGGUGGCGAGUGGCGAACGGGUGAGUAAUACAUCGGAACGUGCCCAGUUGUGGGGGAUAGCCCGGCGAAAGCCGGAUUAAUACCGCAUACGACCUGAGGGUGAAAGCGGGGGAUCGCAAGACCUCGCGCAAUUGGAGCGGCCGAUGUCAGAUUAGCUAGUUGGCGGGGUAAGAGCCCACCAAGGCGACGAUCUGUAGCUGGUCUGAGAGGACGACCAGCCACACUGGGACUGAGACACGGCCCAGACUCCUACGGGAGGCAGCAGUGGGGAAUUUUGGACAAUGGGCGCAAGCCUGAUCCAGCCAUGCCGCGUGUGGGAAGAAGGCCUUCGGGUUGUAAACCACUUUUGUCAGGGAAGAAACGGCUCUUACUAAUAUUAGGAACUAAUGACGGUACCUAAGAAUA